GAUGAACGCUGGCGGCGUGCCUAAUACAUGCAAGUCGAGCGAACAGACGAGGAGCUUGCUCCUCUGAUGUUAGCGGCGGACGGGUGAGUAACACGUGGAUAACCUACCUAUAAGACUGGGAUAACUUCGGGAAACCGGAGCUAAUACCGGAUAACAUGUUGAACCGCAUGGUUCAACAGUGAAAGACGGUCUUGCUGUCACUUAUAGAUGGAUCCGCGCCGCAUUAGCUAGUUGGUAAGGUAACGGCUUACCAAGGCAACGAUGCGUAGCCGACCUGAGAGGUGGAUCGGCCACACUGGAACUGGGACACGGUCCAGACUCCUACGGGAGGCAGCAGUAGGGAAUCUUCCGCAAUGGGCGAAAGCCUGACGGAGCAACGCCGCGUGAGUGAAGAAGGUCUUCGGAUCGUAAAACUCUGUUAUUAGGGAAGAACAAAUGUGUAAGUAACUAUGCACGUCUUGACGGUACCUAAGCAGAAAGCCACGGCUAACUACGU
This 496-nucleotide ribosomal RNA is filed under the name uncultured bacterium. Its description in RNAcentral is "partial 16S ribosomal RNA". It matches the Rfam family "Bacterial small subunit ribosomal RNA", at positions 28 to 506 of the family's 1533-position model. The record is from RNAcentral.